UACGGGGGGGGCAAGCGUUGUUCGGAAUUACUGGGCGUAAAGGGCGUGUAGGCGGCCAACUAAGUCCGACGUGAAAUCCCAAAGCUUAACUUUGGAACUGCGUCGGAUACUGGAUGGCUUGAAUUCGGGAGAGGGAUGCAGAAUUCCAGGUGUAGCGGUGAAAUGCGUAGAUAUCUGGAGGAACACCGGUGGCGAAGGCGACAUCCUGGACCGGUAUUGACGCUGAGGCGCGAAAGCCAGGGGAGCAAACAGG
This 253-nucleotide ribosomal RNA is filed under the name uncultured bacterium. RNAcentral's name for it is "partial 16S ribosomal RNA". It matches the Rfam family "Bacterial small subunit ribosomal RNA", at positions 524 to 776 of the family's 1533-position model. The record is from RNAcentral.